CCUGCGGCCGAGACGGGCGGCUGCGGAGCCGCGCUGGGUGGGGGAACGACCGCUCCUAGGGGCCUUAGGGCAAUCGGAGGGCGGCAGACGUGGGGCUGAGACCAGGCGACCUCUGGGAGACGGAUUUCGAGUGGCGGAGACCUAAAGGGCAAGGAAAUAAAGGUGGGAAAACAUGAUGCACAGAUCUGUUGACUUUCCUAACUUGAUGUAGUCAGGACCAGAGCAAAGAAUCACCUGGCUCCUAAGGCCCAUGUUCUAUCUUGAUUUGACUCUGCUUCAUAGAGCAGAGGAAACAGGCGAAGAAUCAUUUUCAGUACAAAACGGUUCGAUUCAUCAAAAAGAUGCUGUAAAUGAUGAUGAUUUUGAGCCAUACUUAAGUAGCCAGACAAAUC
This is a non-coding RNA of Leptonychotes weddellii (Weddell seal), 392 nucleotides long. The record is from RefSeq and is a predicted model, not a curated record. Lineage: Eukaryota; Metazoa; Chordata; Mammalia; Carnivora; Phocidae.